Felis catus (domestic cat) is the source of this 107-nucleotide non-coding RNA. Lineage: Eukaryota; Metazoa; Chordata; Mammalia; Carnivora; Felidae. The record is from Rfam.
GUCUGGGCCCAUACCACCCUGAGUGUGCCGGAUCUCAUCAGAUCUUGGAAGCUAAGCAGGGUCGGGCCUGGUUCGUACUCGCACAAGAGACCACGCGGUUGAAUAUA